UGUUUUUAUGAAAUUUUUCAAUUAUGUCAACAGUCAUCAUAGAGUCACAGUCUCACAUCAAAUAGAAAGUUUUUUGUGACACCUUUAGUCUACUGUAUCUUAAUGUUGUUGCACAUGUGGGCUACUGUAAUGUUUGAGGAUUAUGUUGAUCACUAUGUGCAAUCGCUCUGCAGUUUGGUAUUCCUGCCAUCACAUCUGCUGUAGAAAAUGCUUUUGGCCUUUGACUCAGCUGGGUUUACUGACACUUGAUUAUGGAAUAAACCAUUUUUAAUAGCCCCAAAAGAAGCAUGACCGAUGACAUCAAUGCAGGUUGUUGACUGCCAAACUGCCCAAGCAAUAAAAGUUAAUGUCACAGUAUUGUUGCAGUAGGUAUCAUUAUUCUUGGUUGAUGUUGUUUUUUAAUACUUACACAUGGGAUUCUCAACAUGCCAGUCUCCUCCAGAACACCCUUUUUGUUGCAGAGCACAACAACAACAACAACAACAAACCCCCUAUCACACUUACUGCCAUCACUGCUGCCAGCAAGGCAGGAAGAGAGGUGUCAUGACUAAUAGCUGGAUCUCCUCUCUUGUCUGCUAAGCUGGAUGUGGCUACUAUUUCAGACAUCACUGAGGUCAAAUCCCAAGACGCUUUUUUGUCCCGACCAUGUGCUGCUGAGCCUCUUGUUGUCAUAAAUGCAGUAAGUGACGUGAACAAUGACAAUGUAAAGAGGACUUAGGAAAGGCACACCAACUGCACAAAUACCACUUGAACACCAUCCAACUAUUAGCUCAAUGUUCUUUUUAUUAAAUGAUCUGUCUUUGCUACAGUUCCCUCAAGGAUAAGUUAGAAAGCAUCAUAUGACAACUUCUCAUAAUGAUAUAUCAUAGACACAGCCUGAUUAAUUCUAGAAGCAUGCAUUAAGCGUGGUUCACUUAAUCACCCAAACCUUUUGGCAACGUUUUGAUGGUGAUGUCGUGGCUUAUUUAUGCAUGCUGUAUUGUAUAUAGCAUUUCCCACAAUACAUGGCCUGCCCAGAAGAA
Molecule: long non-coding RNA, 1022 nt
Organism: Etheostoma cragini (Arkansas darter)
Lineage: Eukaryota; Metazoa; Chordata; Actinopteri; Perciformes; Percidae
Exons: 2
Source: RefSeq, a predicted model, not a curated record